GAUGCCAUCUGGGGGUGCUUCUAAAAGCCUCCAUAGAUAAGAAUGCUAAAGAAUUGAAAGUCCCUGCCUAUUUUAAGGCAAGUUGCUUGGGAGAGGUCUUGUGGUCUUUGCUCUUUGACCUGAGGCAGCAUCAUCUGGGUGGCUUUGAGCUACCCCACCACUUGGUUUGGAGUCACCCCCUCCCCCAUCAAGCUCUCUCCCUUGCUCUUGGCUUUGAAGAACCUUUACAGAAGAAGCUGCAGAGACAGGACUUCAAGUGGAUCAAGGGACGAAAGUCAUCGCUGAGACUUUCCAUGAGAAAUCCACAGUUUUAGAUGGUAUCUGCAAAUGAAAGGACUGUGACCAGUUAGAAUUCGAUCAUGUGGGCUCUGCUACGAUGAUGCUCUGUGUGCUGAGACCUAAUCCAGUUUAUACUCUGAACACGCAUGGAAAGCGCUAAGGACCCCCAGACAGUCUCACACACAGGCAAGUCUGAGACGCAGAAGAGGUCUUCACAAGCCCGGACCUGGAAGAAGAUAACCCAGCAUGCCCAUGUUUUAUUUCAAACCAUCUGGUGUCACAGGCCUGGUAGAACUUCUGCAUUUCAUUUUUGGCACUCUUGCUUUUAUUUGGU
Mus caroli (Ryukyu mouse) is the source of this 613-nucleotide long non-coding RNA. RefSeq lists it as uncharacterized. NCBI's taxonomy places the organism in Eukaryota, Metazoa, Chordata, Mammalia, Rodentia, Muridae. The record is from RefSeq and is a predicted model, not a curated record.